GGUUUAUUUUUUCCUCUCACAACUAAAUUACACUUUUGGUCCUCAAACUAUGAAAUACAUGAGACUUUGGUUCUCAAACUUUAAUUUGUUAUGAUUUUUUGCUUAAAUUUUUUGAAUUAUUAUGAUUAGGCAUUACAAUCUAAUUUAGUUGGUUAAAUAUAGAUAAAUUGUUAAUAUAGAAGAUAUGUGAAAAUAUUAUGAUUAGUAAUGCAUGUGAUAACAGUUGAGAUGCUAUGUCACUUUUACAUCAAUAAUUUUUUAAUAUUUAGCCAACUAAAUUGGGUUGUUUGACUUGAUUGUAUUAAUUUAGUUAAUUGUAAUAAUUUAGAAAUUAAGGUCGAGUCAGAAAUUACAAUAAAUUAAAGUUUAAGGACCAGUGAAUCACGCGCCUCAUAGUUUGAGGA
This 404-nucleotide long non-coding RNA is filed under the name Ananas comosus (pineapple). Its description in RNAcentral is "long non-coding RNA (ACOM_LNC003399)". The record is from RNAcentral. Lineage: Eukaryota; Viridiplantae; Streptophyta; Magnoliopsida; Poales; Bromeliaceae.